This 266-nucleotide ribosomal RNA is filed under the name uncultured Actinomycetes bacterium. Its description in RNAcentral is "uncultured actinobacterium partial 16S ribosomal RNA". It matches the Rfam family "Bacterial small subunit ribosomal RNA", at positions 1133 to 1397 of the family's 1533-position model. Lineage: Bacteria; Bacillati; Actinomycetota; Actinomycetes. The record is from RNAcentral.
GGGGACUCGUACAAGACUGCCGGGGUCAACUCGGAGGAAGGUGGGGAUGACGUCAAGUCAUCAUGCCCCUUAUGCCUAGGGCUGCACGCAUGCUACAAUGGCUGGUACAAAGGGCUGCAAUACCGUGAGGUGGAGCGAAUCCCAAAAAGCCAGUCUCAGUUCGGAUUGGGGUCUGCAACUCGACCCCAUGAAGUCGGAGUCGCUAGUAAUCGCAGAUCAGCAACGCUGCGGUGAAUACGUUCCCGGGCCUUGUACACACCGCCCGU